CAACCUGAAAGCACAAGAACUCAGGCCGAGGUCACGUGCAGCGGAGCACCCCAUUCCCACCCCCACCUCGACCUCGCCGCCUCCGCCCUCCUUCUCUGCCCCCGCGCCGCCUCCCCUGUCCUCUCCCUUCGCGAUGAAGCAACGGCACAGCGCCACCGUGAGGCUAGGCUAGUACGCUCCCAUCGUUCCGCGACCGAUGACGCCGCGGUGCCGCCAGGGCGAGUAUUUCGCGGAGCGCCGGCGCACCACGAGGGCUUUGCUGCGCCGCGACGCGGGCUGGCUGGCUGGGCUCCGGUGUCCACGCCGCGGCUGCUGUCUGUGGCCCGCGAUGCCGCGAGGGUUGGUCAGCCACGCGCCGCUGCUGGUGCUCCGCGUCGCGAACGUUGCCAGGGGGGCCUUGACCCCGCUGAAGCUGCCGCUACCUGGCCGCAGGGGCCGUGCGCUAGAUGCCGGCGCUGCGACGACCCGUGGAGUUGCAGCAUUGCUCGCUCGUGUGCGGCCGCCGAGCUGGCGCCGCCGCGACCGCGAGCGGUGGAUGCCCCCGUGCGCCGUGCGCGUACUAGCCGCUCGACGCGACAAGCCGUCAGCUUUGGGCGCCCCCGUCUCGUUCCUGCUCGCAUAGUCGCAUCGGCACGGCACACCACGUACGGAAUUGUGGGACCACACCAGGUGGUUGAGGCGUUUCCCUGGCUUGUAACACCAUUUUGUGGAUGGCAGGCAUGUCUAGUUUGCACUUCAUCAACUCAUUGUCAGAGCUCUGCCAUGGGACUCCAAAUUUCCAGGAUACCCUUCAUGGAUCACACUCACCACAUGUUCACCAUGGCCUGGGCCCUCACUUCCUAAGCCAAUGCCAUCUGCUAUCGUCACAGACAUUUUUCAAGCUAAUGCAUUCAGACCUUGGUUGCCUGCGCUUACAGCUUCUCACAUGUGAAGGUGCACUACAUUUAAGCAUGCCAGCACAUAUGCCAUGCAAGCCAAGCAUGCCCGGCGAUGUGUUUCUGUGCAAGGCUUCAUCUGUGGCACUGAUAGGCUGCAUCUUCCACUUUUGGAUGGUUACUUCAGCAAUGUCAUCUUGACCGCCACAUCAUUUGUUAAGGCAAGCAAGGUGACCAGUGGUCUAGCAGAUGGGUUGCAGUCAUCCAGGAGGCACUAAGUUUGAUGGAUAAUGACUAUUGCCGCUUAACAUUGGACUACCUGGGGUUGAACCGGAGUUUUCAGCAUUGAUAGAUGGAGCUCACACCUACCAAUUCCCAAACCUUGGGCUCACGAGUUGGGUGUGGCCUCUGGUCAUGGGCACAAUCACAUGCGGCGGCCUGAGGUUUCUUAUCGCAGGUCCAAAUGGCAAUGUGCAGGCUGAACACAUGAAGAUGGUCCAGAAGAUGAUAUUUGAGUUGUAAAUGGAGUGCUUUACUUAGGAUUGUAAUAGGACAAGAAAGCUUCAGGGCGUAGCUGGUUUCUCCCUGGUGAAACUUCUGAAUCUUUAGAGCAAACCCAGUUAGUGUUAGUCUCAAAUCUUGUAGAGUGAGUUUAGGGUCCACCAUUUUAUGGGAAUAUGUAACAAUUACCAGUAAUUAGUUGUAUUUAGAAAGGGGGGAGACAAUGCAGAAAGGGUUUACAAAGUUACAUUCUGCGAAGAAACUUGAAGGGAAAUCAUUGCAGCCAAGUGAGCCAACAUGCAGGGCAGAUUGGUCUGGUGUGCUUGUGCUUCUCUUCUCCCUGGAGUUAUGGAGUACAAUCUGUCAUCAUGGCUUGAGUCAGGAUGGAGCUGCUAGUGAAUACUCAGAUUGAACGGGCAGCUAUUAUAACCUAAAGGAAGGUCCUCCGGAGUCCAGACGUCUACUAUCUGUGUGGUGGGGGCAGCUGCGGUCUCUUGACUCAGAAAUGCUCCUUGCGGUGUACGCCUGUCCUGUUUCAACUUUCAAGGCUACUUACUGUACUAUUUUGCGGAGUGCGGCCGACAUGUGGGGCGCUGCAGACGCCGAGGCUGAUACGCUCUAUUGGAAACCUGAAAGCACAAGAGGUCUGAAGCAGCCCGAGGCCACUGCAGGGGAGUGCACCCACCACACCCAUUCCCGCCCGGCCACCCCCACCUCACCGCCGGCGCUGCGAUGACCCGUGAAGGUGCAACAUCGCUCCUCGAUCGACUCGUGUUGCCGGCGGCACCGCGAGCGGUGGGCGGGCGCCCCCAUUUGUGCACUAGCUGCUCGACGCGACGAGAGUGCCGAUGCCAAACCGUCAGCUUGGGCGCCCGUGUGCCUCCACUGCUCCCGGCCGUGUCUCGUUCUUGCUCGCAUCGCAUCGGCGCACCACGUAUAGAAUCGUGGGACCACACCAGCCACACGCCGCCGCGGGUCCUCCGUCUCUCGAGCGUUGCUGGGGGCCUUUGACCCCGCAGAAGCUGCCGCUACCUGGCCGCCGGUGCUGCGACAGCCCGUGAAGGUGCAACAUUGCCCACGUCGACUCGUAUGCAGCUGUCGUGCUGGCGUCGCCGCGAGCGGUGGUCUGGCGCCCCUCGUGCGCGCACUAGCCGCUCGACGCGACGAGUGCCAAUGCCAAGCCAUCAGCUUUGGCGCUCGUGUGCCCGAUGCCCCCGCUGCGUCUCAUUCCUACUCGCAUCGGUGCACCAUGUGCUGAAUCGUGGGACCACACCAGGAUAUCAAGCUUCGCUAUGCAUGGCACUUGCUGUACCUGUGACACUAAAGACUACUGAGGAGGGUGGGAAUGAAAGAUUUGAUUACGCGGUGUCAGCUAUGCAAGGAUACCGUCCAAAUAUGGAGGAUGCUCAUGCAAUUGUCUUAAAUCUUGAUGCUGCAACUGGCACAUCAUUCUUUGGUGUUUAUGAUGGCCAGGGAGGACCUGCUGUUUCAAAGUAUUGUGCGAGACACUUACACACAGAGCUUCUCAGACAUGAAAGUUUCCGUGAUAAUCUCCAAACUGCAAUUGAGAGAACGUUCUUAAGGAUGGAUGAGAUGAUGAAAGACAGGAGUGCAGGGUGGGAAUUAUCUGGGUAUGGUGGUAAUGACAAUUGGAAAGCAUAUAGAAAGGCUCUGCGCUGGAGUCUACUUCUACCCUUCUUCUGUCAGAAGCCUGCCUAUCCGGGGCCAGAAAAUGAUGGAUGUACUGUGUGUGUGGUUCUCAUUAGAGGCAACCAAAUCAUUGUGGGAAAUGCUGGUGAUUCUCGCUGUGUACUCUCAAGGAAUAAUGUGGCGGUUAAUCUAUCCACAGACUUUAAACCAAGCCUUCCAGCUACAGGACAUGCGGUAACUUUUAGUGAGAGGAAAUGCCAUCGUGUUGAUGAUGGAAUUGCAAUUGCAAUAUCACUUGGUGACCUGCUGUACAAGGAUAACAAGGAUUUAUGUCCCCAACAACAAGCAAUUACUGCCUUUCCUGAAGAGUUAACUCAAGAUGACCAGUUUCUUAUCAUAGCAUGUAAUGGAAUCUGGGAUUGCCAAACAAGGCACCAAGCUGUUGAUUUUAUAAGGACACAAUCAAAUACACAGGUUGCGUAUGGGAUGCUGAAACAUGGAGCCCAAAUUGCGAAGUUUGCCGACAAGAUACGUAAUACUGUCACAUUUGUACUUGAUGGAAGUAAUUAUGAUGUAUGGGAACAAUACAUGAUGGUGAUGGCUCACUUAAGAUUUUGAUAUGGACCAAGAUCAGUAAAUCUCAUUAUUGAUGGUAGGGCAGCUUGGCUCUAUGGAGCAGCAGGAGCCAAUGCAAUUGUCCAGUUUGAGCGUAAGAAUCAUACCCUUUAUAUACAGCAUGAAUAUUCAAUUUCACUGAAUGGAGAGGGCAAGUAUUCCCAAGUCGCCAAAAAAGGGAUCGGAAACAUCCCUAUCGGGAUAGAUGCUCUAAGAACACUAUGUUCUGUAUUAUCAGAAGUCGAUGAAAAUAGUGAUCUUGAUCAAAUUGAUGAGCAACUUGGAGUUGCAGUUGCUCACAUUAUGGAACCAUUGAAGAUCCAUAAGGCAUAUGAAGCAGUGAGUGGGGCAUUAUUCUCAGGUGAAAGUACUACUUUCGACGAGAAAGAUCCAAUUAUCAAAUUGCUGGUCAAGGUUUGGGGAAAAGCUGGUGUAAGUCUGGGAAAGUAUGUUUUUGCGAAUUUUUGCAAUAAAUCCCAGCCUUUGCACCUCAAUGAAAGGCUGAAUGCUGCAGGCAUAAAAGGCCUUGAAGAUAUUUUAGAAAACAUGUUUAUUAUGCCUCGAUCAUUCAUACCGCCGGAUUAUGUUGACAAGGAACCUUCAAUGGUUAAUUCGACCUGGGAACCUGUUGAUCCAGGAAGUGGCGAUCCUAGAGUGAUACCCCUUGAGAACCUGUACAGAAGGAUACAGGAACAAAGAGAGCAGACUAUGAAAGACAAUAAGUUUAUCCAAGACAGGAUGAAAUAUUUUGGAGACAGGUUGGGUGGGAAACCUUGUGCUCAGGCUGUAUCAUUUGUGAAGUCAGCAACCACAAGUAGUGUGUUGUCAUGGAAAGCAUCUCUGCCACUGCCAGUGAAAGGCAAUCAUAUCUUAAAUGCUGUUCAAAUAGCGAAGAAAUACUCUAGAUUCUUCAAAUAGAAAGUACAAGCUAUCUGUAGAAGAUCAGAGGUGAUGACUCUGGAGGCAAUGAAGAUAUAGGAGUGCGCUGAAGGAUGUUGUGAAAAAGGCGUGGAAGUGUGGAGUGUUCGACAUCUUGUUUGAAUUCAUCACAUGCAAGAGCUUGCUUAUAUACUCAUGUGCUGGUAUCUGACAGGAGCUGAGGACUUUUUUUUCUUUUUUCUUUUUGCUUGUUUUUCCGUUGAGAAAUUGUUCCGUAUGCUGGAUUAAUAUGUUCUUCAGACCUCAGUUCGCUAGGUUCUUCAAAAAUGCAAUAAAGAAAGAGGAGCCCAUAGAUCUAGGAGUGUUGCUAUCA
This is an RNA transcript of Sorghum bicolor (sorghum), 4893 nucleotides long. It is a transcript of the gene named probable protein phosphatase 2C 42, with no coding region annotated. Lineage: Eukaryota; Viridiplantae; Streptophyta; Magnoliopsida; Poales; Poaceae. The transcript has 17 exons. The record is from RefSeq and is a predicted model, not a curated record.